CCUGCCGAAUGAAUUAGCCCUGAAAAUGGAUGGCGCUGAAGCGGGUAGCCGAAACUGUGCCGUCUGGACGAAGAUUAUGUUUCAGAUGAGUAGGAGGAACGUGGCGGUUGUAUAGAAGCGUGUGCGCAAGCAUGCGUGGAACGGCCGCUAGUGCAGAUCUUGGUGGUAGUAGCAAAUAUUCAAAUGAAAACCUUGAAGGGCGAAGCGGGGAAGGGUUCCACGCGAACAUUGAUUGGGCGUGGGUGAGUCGUUCCUAAGCCGUCUGGUAAUUGGCUAGGCACUCGGCGAAAGGGAAGCAGGUUGAUAUUCCUGCACACGGAUGUGGAUAUGCGGUGACGCACACUGGGGCGGCGAAGUCGUCGGUUGCACUGGGCAGAGAUUUCUUUUCUGUUUGACGGAGCCUGGCUGUACUCUAUGGAAUCCGCUUGUCGGGAGAAAUAGGUAUGCCACGGCAAAGCGCCGGGUUUUUAUCUGGCGUCCAGUUUGCGACUGGCGGACCAUGAAAAGCUGUCUGCUGGCAAAAUGUGCACUUUUGUGUGUGUUUUGUGUGAAAAAUUCCACGCCGUAACGUACCCAUAACCGCAUCAGGUCCCCAAGGUGAACAGCCUCUGCUCGAUAUGAACAAUGCAGGUGAGGGAAGUCGGCAAAUUAGACCCGUAACUUUGGGAAAAGGGUUGGCUCUAGUGCUGCGUAGGAGUGGUUGCCGGUUGUAGCUGCGUUUUCGGUCGCUUCUUGCCAAAGGCUGAAGAGUUGCCCUUUUUUUGGGGGUUUCUCUGCGCCAUUGCGUAGGAGUAUCGAAACUGUGGGUCCUGGUGACGCCUACAGCAUGCAGCAAACUAGAACUGCAACGGACAAAGGGAAUCCGACUGUUUAAUUAAAACAAAGCAUUGCGAAGGCCGGGCCGGUGUUGACGCAA
Molecule: ribosomal RNA, 916 nt
Filed under: Bostrychia scorpioides
Lineage: Eukaryota; Rhodophyta; Florideophyceae; Ceramiales; Rhodomelaceae
Description: eukaryotic LSU rRNA
Rfam family: Eukaryotic large subunit ribosomal RNA
Source: RNAcentral